Molecule: transfer RNA, 89 nt
Filed under: Metarhizium album ARSEF 1941
Lineage: Eukaryota; Fungi; Ascomycota; Sordariomycetes; Hypocreales; Clavicipitaceae
Rfam family: tRNA
About the family: Transfer RNA (tRNA) molecules are approximately 80 nucleotides in length. Their secondary structure includes four short double-helical elements and three loops (D, anti-codon, and T loops). Further hydrogen bonds mediate the characteristic L-shaped molecular structure. tRNAs have two regions of fundamental functional importance: the anti-codon, which is responsible for specific mRNA codon recognition, and the 3' end, to which the tRNAs corresponding amino acid is attached (by aminoacyl-tRNA synthetases). tRNAs cope with the degeneracy of the genetic code in two manners: having more than one tRNA (with a specific anti-codon) for a particular amino acid; and 'wobble' base-pairing, i.e. permitting non-standard base-pairing at the 3rd anti-codon position.
Source: Rfam by way of RNAcentral
UCCGAUGUGGUGUAGUGGCUAUCAUACUGCGCUUUCAUGGAUUCCGUGGAAGCCCCGCAGGGAUCGGGGUUCGAUUCCCCGCAUCGGAG